CACUGAAGAAAAUUUAAACAGCAUAGGAUCACAUGUUGACAUUUAAGCAUGCAUUGAACGGCAAAAACGGAAACGUUCACCUUGGUUAAUUUCGUGAAAGGUCAUUUCUUCCUCUUUUCUGGUAUUCAAGAAGCUCCUCCAGUGCUUGAUGGUGCGAGAAUUACGGGUUAAUGAGUUCUUCCCUUCUACACCCAGAUUCAGUCCAAAACGAGAGUGCGUGCUCUCUUUCAGUCAAAGGAGGAAGGAGCAGGGAGCCAACCAGCAAGAGACCCCUUCCUUUUCUUUUAUAUAUAUAUAUCACACACAUUAUUUGGACCACCACUUGACUUAAUGGGUCAGUAAAGAGAAUUAGGGUGAGCCCAUAAAAAAUCAAGCAAUAAUAUGUGUCCAGUCCCAUUAUGGACCACAAUGCAAAAAUAAAUAACACUGAUUUAUGACAUUAUUAAAUUGAUUAUGUAAGUCCACACAUAAAAAUUCCAACAAUCUCCCACUUGGACUACAUAAUCAAACAUUACAACAUACACAUAAUCAUAAAUCAAUAUCCCAUAGAAUCUCAUCAAAAUAAAUAAUCAAAAGCAAUCAUACAUGCUUCAUUGCUUGAUUCACAGGGAAAUAUACAAUAGUAGCAAUCCUUCCAACAAUACCAUAAUAUUAUAAUACCAAAAAAUGGCUCCCACUAACUCAAUACAACCUAGGCUUCCAACAACCCCAUUUGAGAUACAUGUUCCUGAAACGCAAUUAUGGGUAAGCCUUUUGUUAAUGGAUCCUCCAACAUACUUUUUGUGGACAUGUGUUCAAUAUCAAUAAGAGACUCUGCCACUUUCUCCUUAACAAAAUAGAACUUUACAUCAAUAUGUUUGGAGCGAGAAAUACUCCUAGUGUUCUUGGAGAAAGUAACAGUUGCAGAAUUAUCACAAAAUAAUUUCAACGGUCUAGAAAUGGAGUCAACAACUCCCAAAGCUGAAAUAAAAUUCCGCAUCCACAUAGCAUGACAACAAGCCUCAUAACAUGCCACAUACUCUGCCUCCAUAGUUGAGGAUGCUGUAAGUGUCUGCUUGACACUUUUCCAAGAUACAGCUCCUCCUGCCAUCAUAAAAAUAUAGCCCGUAGUGGAUUUCUUAUCAUCUAAGCAGCCAGUAAAAUCAGCAUCACAAAACCCAACUACAUCAAGUAAGCUGGUGCCCUGAUAUGUCAACAUUAAGUCCUUAGUUCCUUGCAAAUACCUAAGGACCUUCUUAGCUGCUUUCCAAUGUUGACUCCCAGGAUUGCUCAAGUACCUUCCCAACAUGCCCACAACAAAAGCAAUAUCAGGGCGUAUACAUACUUGAGCAUACAUAAGGCUGCCCACCACAGAUGAAUAAGGAAUGGUCUUCAUUUCCUCUCUCUCAUCAUCAUUUUGAGGACGCUGAGCCUUUGAAAAGUUAUCACCCUUCACAAUUGGCGCUCUAGUAGAACUACAGUUGUGCAUAUUGAACCUCUUCAAUAUUUUCUCAAUAUAGGUUCUUUGAGACAAUUUAAGCACUCCAUUAUCCCUAUCACGAAGAAUCUUUAUGCCCAAAACAUAAGAAGCCUCACCAAGAUCCUUCAUGUCAAAAUGGGUUGACAACAUGUGCUUUGUCUCAAACAACAAGUCAGAAUCAUUUGAUGCGAGUAGUAUAUCAUCAACAUAUAAAACAAGAAAUAUGUAACUACUCCCACUGACCCUCAAAUAUAUGCAUUUGUCAACUGUAUUCUCUUUAAAACCAUUUUGGGUGAUAAUACUAUUAAACUUUAGAUACCACUAGAUCUUUCAUCAACAGAACUCACAUCUUCAAAAUAUACAACCCUGUCUAACUCAAUGAUCUUGGUGGUAUGAGAUGGACAAUACAAUAUGGAAUCCCUUGAUCCAAUGCUAUUACCAACAAAGAAACCACUAAUGGUUUUAGGAUCAAGUUUCUUUGACUAUGGGUUAUAGGGCCUAACCUCAGCCUUACAUCCCCAAACAUGGAAAUGGUGAAGGCUAGGUUUCUUUCCUGACCAUAGCUCAUAAGGUGUCUUAGGCACAAACUUAAUGGGCACUUGAUUCAAAAUAUAUGCCACAGUCCUUAAGGCUUCACCCCACAGAAAUUCUGUUAAGAGGAAUUGGACAACAUGCACCUCACCAUAUCUAACAAUGUGCGAUUCCUCCUUUUUGCAACCCCAUUCUGUUGAGGAGUGCCUGGCAUUGUAUAUUUCGCAUCAAUGCCACAUUCCAACAAAAACUUAGCAAAUGGUCCAGGAUUUCGUCCAGUCUCAUCAUAUCUCCCAUAAUACUCACCAUCUCUAACCAAUCUCUCUAAUCUUUGCCUAGAAAUAUGACCUAGGCGUUUGUGCCACAAUAUGGAAGAACUGAAAUUUACUUGGCUUAUCAACUCUCAAAACCCAAUCCAAAAUGUGCAUAGUCAUAUGCACAUUGAAAGACUCAAAACAUUCCUCAAAAUUAUUCCAGUAAGAGGUUUGAUGGCAGACAAUUGCAGAGUAAUACCAGGAUUGCUAGUAGUUGGAAAAUAGCAAAAUUAAGCAAUAUGCAUGUUACUACAAAAUCAUGCAUUUGCUAGUUUCCAGAAUUUCUCAAUUUAGCAACAGCUUGGAAUUUUGAAAAUUCCACGGCGGUAAGGACAACCAAUUAAAUAUCAUAACCAAGAUGCACUAAUUUUAUUACCGAAAGAGCAAAGAAAAUUAGUACGGUUCAUAAUAUAAAAUUAAUUUCCUUCACCAAUCCAAGCAUCCUACCAAAUAUUAUAAUCAUCGAUAGGACAAUCACAGUACUCGUAUGGAUCUUAGUAAUAACAAUAAUAAAGCGACUAAAUGUGGGAGUUAAAUUAUUUCAGCAAAGACAAUUUGACACAUAUAGGGUCACGAUAGGCAACCACAUAUAUGUUCACUAUUGUCAUGAUAAACUGAAAUAUUUAAUUUGCGCAACUUGACACACUUGAAAUUGCGAUAGGCAAUCACACAAGUGUUAUAAAUUGCCACAAUAAAUUUAAAUAGUUAACAAAAUUGACCUUGGACAACAUUAUUGGUACAAAAUAAAAAUUAUACCAUAAAACCAAUAAUUAUAAUAAUUGUCCCAAUAAAGUGAAUUUUAACAAUUGCAUAAUAAUUCUAACAUAUGCAUAAUCAAUCCAAGAAUACCAAGGCAAACAAAACAAAAAUAAAAAAAUAAAAUUGCUUUUGUUUUUUUUUUUUUUUUUAAUGACGUCAUGAUGACGUCAUCACAUCACUAUUCAUCUCCUUCUCCAGCUGAACACGGCCUGGUGCAGGAGAAAAAAAAAAUUUUCCUUUUUCGGCCAAAAUUUUGGGCAUUUUCCGACAAAAAACGCUUAGAUUUCCAUCCUCAAACAUCAAACCUUCAAUCUAAUCCCAAAAUUUGCACAAAAAUCGCAUAAUAGGAAAAACCAAAGCAAGCCCUAAUUCUCGAAAUCCCACCAAACAAGCUCCAAAAAUCAAAUAAAAUGAUGGGUUUUGCUCCAAACAAUAUUCUCUACAAGUUUCCAACAACAAUCGGGCUUGAAAACAGAGAAUCAACAUCAAACGAGAAAUAAAAUUCCAAAAAAAUGGCUUCCACAAUAGGAAACAGGAAACCCAAAAAUUAACCCAAAAUUGCAGCUCAAAUGUCAUCCAUGUUGGCUCUGAUACCAAUUGAAGAAAAUUUAAACAGCAUAGGAUCACAUGUUGACAUUUAAGCAUGCAUUGAACGGCAAAAACGGAAACGUUCACCUUGGUUAAUUCCGUGAAAGGCCAUUUCUUCCUCUUUUCUGGUAUUCAGGAAGCUCCUCUAGUGCUUGAUGGUGCGAGAAUUACGGGUUAAUGAGCUCUUCCCUUCUACACCCAGAUUCAGUCCAAAAUGAG
RNAcentral lists this long non-coding RNA (3870 nucleotides) under Vitis vinifera (wine grape). Its description in RNAcentral is "long non-coding RNA (VVIN_LNC006921)". Lineage: Eukaryota; Viridiplantae; Streptophyta; Magnoliopsida; Vitales; Vitaceae. The record is from RNAcentral.